This 442-nucleotide ribosomal RNA is filed under the name uncultured bacterium. Its description in RNAcentral is "bacterial SSU rRNA". It matches the Rfam family "Bacterial small subunit ribosomal RNA", at positions 335 to 769 of the family's 1533-position model. The record is from RNAcentral.
ACUCCUACGGGAGGCAGCAGUGGGGAAUAUUGCACAAUGGGCGCAAGCCUGAUGCAGCCAUGCCGCGUGUGUGAAGAAGGCCUUCGGGUUGUAAAGCACUUUCAGUCGUGAGGAAGGUAGUGUAGUUAAUAGCUGCAUUAUUUGACGUUAGCGACAGAAGAAGCACCGGCUAACUCCGUGCCAGCAGCCGCGGUAAUACGGAGGGUGCGAGCGUUAAUCGGAAUUACUGGGCGUAAAGCGCAUGCAGGUGGUUUGUUAAGUCAGAUGUGAAAGCCCGGGGCGUCAACCUCGGAAUAGCAUUUGAAACUGGCAGACUAGAGUACUGUAGAGGGGGUUAGGAAUUUCAGGUGUAGCGGUGAAAUGCGUAGAGAUCUGAAGGAAUACCGGUGGCGAAGGCGGCCCCUGGACAGAUACUGACACUCAGAUGCGAAAGCGUGGGAGC